Molecule: long non-coding RNA, 1317 nt
Organism: Manis javanica (Malayan pangolin)
Lineage: Eukaryota; Metazoa; Chordata; Mammalia; Pholidota; Manidae
Source: RefSeq, a predicted model, not a curated record
CCUGCACAAGGUCCAGGCCGAGUCUCUCUCUGUGGCAGGCCUCAGGGCUGCGAGCUUCAGCUUUGGGGAGGUGCCUUCUAGGAGACCCACGUGUGGGCAUGAGCUCAAACAAGGGGCCUUUGUGUCUUCCCACCUGCUGCCCUCCGGAGCACAUUCCAUUCCUAAGUGGCAGCUGAAAGAGGGACCUCAGCCGACACAGGAUAUUACGAAUGCCCUCUCGCACCUUGUCCCCAUUCAAACCCCAGCUUCCUGGACAGGUGUGGCUUCAGGUGGCCCUCCCUCCAGGUGGCCUGAACCUGCAUUGCCGUGGCAGACAAAGAGAAGAGGCUCAACACCCCCACUGAUCCUCCAAAAGGCAGGAGAGAGAGGCCCCUGGGCAGAAGUCAAGUCUCCAGGGUGAGUUAGACCUGGCAUCCCCUGGCCUCCGGCUUCUGCACCACAUGGACAGGAAGUCUACACAACAUCUGGCAGGCAGGAGCCCAUGCUGGGAAGGGAAGCAAAGAGCUGGCAAUUGGGCAGCUUAUCUCUGAGAUGAGGCUUCAGACUCUACCCCCCUGCUCCCUGCACCAUCCCCGAGGCAUCAGGAUCCUCGCCCUCUUGCAGCUGGAUCAGCAGGAGCUCACAAUGACCACAGGUCUAUUUCUUUUGUUAUCUACAAGGUACAAAGCCACAUCACCCUGGAAAGUGCUUCUCUAUGCAGUUUAAGACCCCAGAUCCCAUGUCUGGCCUGUCUUGGUGUGGGUGUUUUAUUCAGCAUCAUGCACUCGGUUCCCUUUGGUGGGGAAAAUCUGGGUGGUCAGUUUUGGAUGAUUGCCAAUUUUUUUUCUGUCACCAGGACCUCAUGCCCUGGAGUAAAGGUGAUGUUCCUAAAGACUUCAGUUGCAAAGGAAGGCAGUUCCCUCCGCCAACUCCAGAGGGAACCACCAUCGUGCAUGGCUGUCUCUGCCUAUUCUGGGAAGCACCUAGAAAGGGUUCUGACCCUGAGGCACCUGUCUUCUCGGUGAAGGCCACACAAGCCGGGCUCAGCCAGCUCAUCCACAGAAGGACAUCUGAGGAGGUCCCACCAACAGAAAAGAAAGGGUCCGUAUUUCCCCAAUCUAUAUCACACCUUUUCUCCCUAUACUAAUAGUUUUGUGAGAAUUCAAUUAUGUUACCCUGCAUGACUUGCGUCUAGCGCAUUUGUUUGCUUUAAAUGAAAUUUUCCAGGUCAUUUGCAAGGAGGGCUCAUUCCUGCCCUUCCCCACACCAACCCCAAUUAAGGUUUCCAGUUUCCAUGUAAACCACAAAUAAAGUAAACUUUCCUUUUUGGCCUGCAAA